This 194-nucleotide ribosomal RNA is filed under the name Neopseudolachnella sp. RNAcentral's name for it is "partial large subunit ribosomal RNA". It matches the Rfam family "Eukaryotic large subunit ribosomal RNA", at positions 82 to 279 of the family's 3401-position model. The record is from RNAcentral. Lineage: Eukaryota; Fungi; Ascomycota; Sordariomycetes; Chaetosphaeriales; Chaetosphaeriaceae.
AGUAACGGCGAGUGAAGCGGCAACAGCUCAAAUUUGAAAUCUGGCCUUCGGGUCCGAGUUGUAAUUUGCAGAGGAUGCUUCCGGCGCGGCGCCUUCCAAGUCCCCUGGAACGGGGCGCCAUAGAGGGUGAGAGCCCCGUCGGGUCGGCCGCCAAGCCUAUGUGAAGCUCCUUCGACGAGUCGAGUUGUUUGGGA